UACGUUGGUGGCGAGCGUUAUCCGGAAUCACUGGGCGUAAAGCGCUCGUAGGUUGCUUUGUAAGUCAGGUGUGAAAUCCCACGGCUCAACCGUGGAAUUGCACUUGAUACUGCAUUGCUUGAGUUCGGGAGAGGGUAGUGGAAUUCCAGGUGUAGGAGUGAAAUCCGUAGAGAUCUGGAGGAACACCGGUGGCGAAGGCGACUACCUGGACCGAUACUGACACUGAGGAGCGAAAGCGUGGGGAGCAAAC
Molecule: ribosomal RNA, 250 nt
Filed under: uncultured bacterium
Lineage: Bacteria
Description: partial 16S ribosomal RNA
Rfam family: Bacterial small subunit ribosomal RNA
Source: RNAcentral